Long non-coding RNA from Myxocyprinus asiaticus (Chinese sucker), 1570 nucleotides. RefSeq lists it as uncharacterized. The record is from RefSeq and is a predicted model, not a curated record. The transcript is spliced from 3 exons. NCBI's taxonomy places the organism in Eukaryota, Metazoa, Chordata, Actinopteri, Cypriniformes, Catostomidae.
GCCAGAUCUUUUACUCUUUCCCCCUCUUUUUCUCUUCCCCUCACUUCAAGGGUCCCUCCAUUUAGUCUGGUCUCCUUUCAGCAAAAGACAGGGAGAAGCUGAAGACUCUGAAUGUAUCAGCGAUUGUUCUGCCACCUAGGGUGGUUGUGGGCAAGAAAGGCAGAGUUACCAUCAGUGUGGAGGGCAGGCUGGCAGACAGGGUACAGAUGACAUGGUUUCUUAAUGAUGUCCUCAUAACAGACACUUCAUAUACAGGAGACAGUGUGUCUCCUGACUAAGAGGCCUAGGUCACGUAGGCCACCUCUCUAGUGUCUUCAUGACCCAACAACAAACAUUUGAUUAUGAAUGUUUCUGCCAAGUUAACAAGAAUACAACUUCAUCUCUCCUGAGGGAAAGUACAAUUACCUCUAUGUUUUAAGUUCCAAUAAGAUAAGAUCAGUCUCCAACAGAAGCAUUGUAAUAUAAGACCUUGAAUAGGAGAAACUCUGUGUGUGUUUUUCCAAAGGUAUUUCUGUUUCAGGAAUUAAGUGAGGAUAGCAGUCGAGAGGUGGACAACUGGACCUCAGAGACCUACUACUGUCCAUAAGGGGAAGACUGUCCGUGGCCUAGGACCUGACUCAGACCAUUGGAUCCUAUAUACGGAACUAAAAUAUCAUGCCAAUAAUCAAUGAGAUAAACGAUGUACAUGAUGACCAUGUUCAGAAAUGUUCUAUAGUUAUCUAUGCUUGUAACCAAUCAGAAUUCUAGAAACUAUAGCAUUAACGUCAACGUAACUGUGUAUCUGACUAUAAGCAUUGAUGUUUUUGGAACUGAGUUCAGUUCGUGAUUCUCCUGUCUUCGAACUCAGAGGCUUUUGCACUGCUGACUUCGGCCAUUUUGAUUUUGCAAACAACUCUCUUCAGUAAAAUUCAACUAAUUUGAUUGACACCUCGACUUCUGGUCUUCAUUCCAAGCCUACUGGUCUACGGGCCCAAGCUGUAAUCCCCUACACUAGAGAUUCACCUUCCCAACGCUUUCAAAAAUGGUCUGAUUAUUGUAUGGAUUUCAUGACUACACCUUUUUACUUGUCAGCGAGUCAGAGUUUACAUUAUGUAAAUGAUUCCCAAUACAUCCUGCAGCUUCAGUGGUCUUUGGGUGACACUUGAUUAAUUUCAGGGUGUUUCACAAGAAUUUUGCCUAGUAUAUGAACACUCCGGCAGACCAUCUCAGAUGUCGGUGUCACAUGCAGCAUGGUUCACUUAUAACACGCUGUGUUACGAAAAAUGCACCAGGACGAUUCCAAAUGCUGUAUAUUUUAUAGUUUAUACUAAACUAAUGUUGCCAUGUAUAAAACAAGCAUGUGAUCCACUAAAGUCAUGUGAUCCACAACUAGUCGACACAGACCCAACAUGUUGACGAGUGGUAGAACCACUUGAAAAGCCGAGCCAAUACAAGUUAAUUGACGUUUUGAAGUGGCAUUAAAUGCAUUGUUUCUGCACAGCUCUCAUUACAGUGUGUGAAAGGGACAAAUCCAGAUGAUAAUAAUGUAGUGUCAGACCUAGUAGAUAUGCCAGGGUUGGUUUUUUGUACA